RNAcentral lists this signal recognition particle RNA (245 nucleotides) under Chlorocebus sabaeus (green monkey). Its description in RNAcentral is "Metazoan signal recognition particle RNA". It matches the Rfam family "Metazoan signal recognition particle RNA". Rfam says of the family: The signal recognition particle (SRP) is a universally conserved ribonucleoprotein. Lineage: Eukaryota; Metazoa; Chordata; Mammalia; Primates; Cercopithecidae. The record is from Rfam by way of RNAcentral.
GCCGGGCGCGGUGGCUCAAGCCUGUAAUCCCAGCACUUUGGGAGGCCGAGACGAGUGGAUCACGAGGUCAGGAGAUCGAGACCAUCCUGGCUAACACGGUGAAACCCCAGCUCUACUAAAAAAUACAAAAAACUAGCCGGNNNNNNNNNNCCGGCUAGUUUUUUGUAUUUUUUAGUAGAGCUGGGGUUUCACCGUGUUAGCCAGGAUGGUCUCGAUCUCCUGACCUCAUGAUCCACCCGCCUCAG